Molecule: long non-coding RNA, 1097 nt
Filed under: Lactuca sativa (garden lettuce)
Lineage: Eukaryota; Viridiplantae; Streptophyta; Magnoliopsida; Asterales; Asteraceae
Description: long non-coding RNA (LSAT_LNC007802)
Source: RNAcentral
UAUAAACUAUGAAAUAACAUUAAACUUUUAUUUUUUCUGAAUUGCUAAAAUGCAUUAGUUAUAACAUAAAACAUAAAGAUAAUAUUAAGCAUCAUACUAGUAAACACAUAAAUAAAAGUAAGAGGAUAAGAUUUUUAAAGCAAAAGCAUUACUUGUAUCCAAGACAAAUUACCAGUAUCUAGAAAUGUCUCCCAACCUGCAUGUUGAUUGUUGAAGCAUCAAGAUUAAUCUUCCUUUUAACCACAGUGCAUCCCACGAGACCCAUCAUGAAUUCUUUAUUUUGAUUUUCACUUAAUCGAACAAAGCAGGUAAUUUUCCUCCAUAUGUAAUCAUGAAAAUGACCUAGUUUCGUUUCCUUUGAUUAAAUUUUGAAAAGGACCAAAAUACCCUUUACUUAGCCCCUCCCUUCUUCUCCUUUUGUCAAUCUUUUUCCAUCAAAGCCAACCCAGAAGCAUGAAAAAAAUGAUCAGACAUGUCUCUUUUAAUAUAAACCAAAAAAUAAAAAGACCAUAUUGCCCUUUAUUCAUAUUAUUGCACCAAAACAUCCAUCCAUCUUCAAUCUACCCCUCAUUUCGUCUCGUUUUGCAUUUCUUAUUCCAACAAAGCCAUUCGAGAGAGAGAGAGAGAGAGUAAUGUGUUCAAUUCUGUUUACCACAUGAGUUGGUGAAACUCCUUAGGGCAAAGCAUUUGUCAUGUCGUUCUGUGUGAAUUUGUUUUAGAAAAUUAUAGACCAAUUUUCAUAAUAUUUAUCAUUACAAAAAUACUUGAGAAAUUAUUAUCUUCCUCCGCCAAGAAAUAGUGAAAUACGAGCAUAAGUGCAUAAUCAAACACUAAAAUGAUGAAAAGGGAUAUUGAAGAAAGGAGACAAUCCGAUUCAGGAAUAAAAAAUGGAAGAAUCCGAUUCAGGAAUAAAAAAUGGAGGAAUCAGAAUUCUGAUGAAGGGAAGGGUUGGUACCGGUUUAGUUUUUGGGUCGAGUGUUACACGCCCCAAUUGAGACAGUAUCAGAAGACCUAAUUGUAGAAGAUGCUUCAAAUUUUGAUUUUUCGUUCCUUUGGCAUCCUCCUACUGCUCUGGGUUUUACUGCCUUCGUCGAUUC